AUGCGCACUGGGUUCUCUUUGGUGGAACUUGAGCGUCUCAGUAGACACUUGUUUGCGUGGCACUGGCUACCUUCUAGUGGAGUGACCGGUCACUCUGGUGGCAUCCUUCUAGGCGUGAAGGAUGCCACCUUUGAGGUGGGAUCCAUGGAUCGUGGAUCCCACUUCGUCAGCAUGGAGGUUUGGGAAUGUGAUGUGAAUUUCAAGUGGGAGAUCAUUGUAGUUUACGGUCCGUCCGACCAUAGUUGCUCGGCCUCGUUCUUGGCUGAGCUUCACGCCAAGAUCUCUGACGCAACUCUGCCGGUAGUAGUUGGAGGCGAUUUCAACCUCCUCCGCUUUGCGGAGGAGAAGAGCAAUGCACGUAUCGACCUUGCUGAGAUGCGUCGGUUCAACGACUGGGUUGCUGACCUAGGGCUCCUUGAAUUGGACAGGGUCGGGGCGAGAUUUACCUGGACUAACCGCCAGGUGUCCCCGACCCUUAGUGUGCUGGACCGGGUGUUUGUCUCCCCCGACUGGGAGCUUCGGUUCCCCUUGGCGUCCCUUCAGGCUAUUACCCGUAUUGGAUCUGACCACGUGCCUCUUCUCUUGUCCUCUCGGGAUGAGCGCCCCCUUCCUCCCCCUCGAUUCCGUUUCGAGGCGUUUUGGCUCCGGUAG
This 651-nucleotide ribosomal RNA is filed under the name Triticum aestivum (bread wheat). RNAcentral's name for it is "partial small subunit ribosomal RNA". Lineage: Eukaryota; Viridiplantae; Streptophyta; Magnoliopsida; Poales; Poaceae. The record is from RNAcentral.